Drosophila hydei is the source of this 2037-nucleotide long non-coding RNA. RefSeq lists it as uncharacterized. NCBI's taxonomy places the organism in Eukaryota, Metazoa, Arthropoda, Insecta, Diptera, Drosophilidae. The transcript is spliced from 3 exons. The record is from RefSeq and is a predicted model, not a curated record.
UGGAUUGUGCAAUUGAAGAAAAACAAUGUGCCUGAUAACAAUGUAUUUCUGUCCGGCUGCCGCCUUUGUUGGCUGGUCAGUCUGUCAGUCAGUCAGUUUUUGGGGCACGUAAGUAUUUCACAUGCAUUUGAACAUUUUUGGAUGUUGAACCCACUUACAGAAAAACAGAAAAGAGAAAAAGAAAAAAAUCAAGAAAUAUAAAUGAAAAGAAAGAAAAGAAAAGAAAGAAGAAGAAAACAACUGGAGACACUACAAUUUCAACUUCAAAACGCUUAAAAAACAAUUUUUAAAAAUUUAUUAACUAAUUUUACAUUACUUCUUCUGUUAGACACAAGACACACACAACUCGCUGUAAUACCGUUAUCGCUGUCGGGGAUGGGGCGCAUGUGCAUGGUCUGCACUCGCGGUUAUUCGCAUGCACAAGUGUCCCAUCCCCACACACUACAGACGUGAAGGCGAUUGGGAAUGGGAAUAACCGGCUCCUCUAUGCUAUGGAAUGCCUUGCAGAGUAUUUCCAGUCGCCUUUUCCCACACACACAUAUAGACACAGAUAUCAACACCCACAUCCAUCACAACAGAAACAGACCGUUUUUAUCGCAUUUACUGUUAUGCUAACACGGAAAUCGCAUAACAGUCUCCCUCCAAACAGUUUUGGAUCCCAAUACACACACACACAGGCACGCAUUUUGUUCAUGCCGACUUCUAAAGGGAAAUUUACACAACUUUUGCGUUCAGCAAACCACCUCGACCAGUUGCAGUUAAGGGGCUCGGUGCUUGGGGUUAAUCAGAGCACACCCGAUUUCCGUGAAUUUCCUAGCGAUCGCACACGUUAGGCGCCGGGACAGUCGUCUAUGCAAUGGAACCAAAAAUAAAAAACACAAAAUUAAUGCGCGUCAAAAAAAACAUAUAAAUAAAAACAAAAAAAUGGAAUGAGUAAUUUUCUUUUAUAAUUAAAUUACUAUUAUUUGGCUAUGGUGGAAAAUUCGACUUAACCUUUCCCAUAUUGCAUAGACCACUGGGACGCGCCACGUGCGGCCAUUCGCAAACUUAUUCGAGUUCGAAACAAGCCAUUUGACUCGAGCUCGAAUCGAUUAGCCACUGGCACAAAAAUUGCAACUCGCAGGUGAUUUGAUUUCUUGCCUAAUUUAAUACACAAAUACACUGAAACAAAACAACACGAAGUUUUUUUUCCAACAUUUUAGUUGUUUCUUUUAUUAUGUAUUGAAAAACUUAGUCUAAGUAAGAAAAAAAUGAAAAAAUUAUAUAAUAUGCUAUUCAAAGAAAUCCAAAACAUAAUUACCAACAAUGAAAAAAUAAAAAAAAAAUCAAAAAAAAAAUUAAAAAUUAAAAAAAAACCAACAAAAACAUACAACAACUAAAAAUACUAAUUAUAGUACAUACAUUGAUGUAGUGUUAAUCUUAAGCAAAAACAAAAAACCAAACACAAAAAACCAAAACCAAAAACCAAAACCAAAAUUAUAAAUCCAAUAACAACAUCUGAGAGCCAACCAUAAAAUUGUUUCAUGAACUCAAGACAACAAAACAGAACAAAAUCCAUACAUAAAUGUACAAGUAACUAUUUUUCUCUAAAAACCAAAGUAAACUGCAACACUUUUUGCUCCAUAUUAAAUUAAUCUUUUUGCAGGCAGAGGAUAUAAUUGAAUGAAAUAAGUAUGUUAUGUAUAUUAAAAAAACAAAAACAAAAGCAAAAGCAAAAAAUAAAAGAUAAAAGCUAAAUUUGUCAACUCAAAUUCAAAAUGAAAAUCGUUGCGGAAAUUGUUAAACAGACUACGCAUGCAAAUACGGAAUUUAUAAUGUACAAUGGGAAUCGCUUUAAAGUCUAUAAUGAACAUUCUGUUGUAAUGCAAAAAUAAAAGCGAAUAUCCAAAUCCAAAAUCCGUUUGACAGAACGAAAAAUUCGUGCAGCAUUAAAAAACAGAUAUGAAAUGAAAAUAACUGCAAAAUAAAUGUAAUUGACAUAACAGAAUUCCAAUAUUAUGUGUUUAUUUAUUUCCGAUGGUGAAUUAGAAUACUAGA